UACAGAGGGGGCAAGCGUUAUUCGGAAUUAUUGGGCGUAAAGGGCGCGUAGGCGGCUUGGCAAGUGGAAGGUGAAAUCCCUCGGCUUAACCGAGGAACUGCCCUCCAAACUGCUUCGCUUGAGACCGGGAGAGGUGAGUGGAAUUCCCAGUGUAGCGGUGAAAUGCGUAGAUAUUGGGAGGAACACCAGUGGCGAAGGCGGCUACCUGGACCAGCACUGACACUGAGGCACGAAAGCGUGGGGAGCAAACAGG
Molecule: ribosomal RNA, 253 nt
Filed under: uncultured bacterium
Lineage: Bacteria
Description: partial 16S ribosomal RNA
Rfam family: Bacterial small subunit ribosomal RNA
Source: RNAcentral